This 4849-nucleotide long non-coding RNA is filed under the name Sus scrofa (pig). RNAcentral's name for it is "lncRNA (ENSSSCG00015032162.1)". Lineage: Eukaryota; Metazoa; Chordata; Mammalia; Artiodactyla; Suidae. The record is from RNAcentral.
UUUUUUUUUUUUUUUUUUUUCUUUAUUCCAAAGGUUGUGGUCUACCCGAAAUUAUGCCUGUGAGUAAGAGAGUUGCUGUCUAAAUGGUCAGGGAAAGAAUGGAACUAACACUUGAGAGUUUGAAAAGAACCCUCGAGUUUGGCAAGGAUACUAUCUUUAUAGAUAAGAAAAGGGGUUCAGAGAAUUUUUUUUUAACAUUGCAAGCUUACAAACCUGGUAUGCCAGUUAUCAGUUUGUAAUGUCUCAGCGUCAAAUCCAGUCUUCACUGCCAGGUAUUCAGCAACAGAGAUAGAGCCUAUGUAUUAUGUUGCUAGGGUUGCCAUAACAAAAGACCACAGACUGGGUGGUGUAAAUAACAGAAGUUUAUUUUCUCAUGAUUCUGAUGGCUGGAAGUCUGAGCUCAAGAUAUUGCAGGGAGAGAGAUGGGAUCAAUAUGGCAGAGGAGUAAGACAUGGAGCUUAUCUUCUCCCACACACACAUUAAAAAAAAAAAUCUACAUGUAGAGUGAUUCACACAGAACAUCUACCGAAUGCUGGCAGAAAAACUUAACCCUCCAAAAAGGACAAAAAAUCCCUCCACAUAUAACUGGGAGAACAAAAGGAAAAAAAGAGAGAGAGAGAGAAAGAUAAAGAUAUAAAAAGAAUUGGGAUGGGACACAGCACUCCUGAGAGGGAGCUAUGAAAGAGGAACAGGACCCACACCCUGGGAAGCUACCUAACAGGGAGCUCAGCUGAGACCAAACAACCUCAAAGCCUCAGAGAAAAAUGCAGCACCUAGCUUGAGGAGGACAAAGCAGACAGAGAGCCAUGAAGACUAUUGGUACCACUGCCCCCAGACACCACAGCCUGAGAUGCUCAGACAGGGGUUGGGCACUGAGACUUGGGCUCCAGAGGUCAGUUCUGGGGAGAGGGCUAGGGUUGGUUGUGUGCAGACAGCCUGAAGGAGAUAGGGAGCAGUGAACUAAGGGCUGGAGAGCAGAGUACCACAGCCAAGGGAACUGGGAAGCAGGUCUGGGCCCAUAGGAAAAGAAAGGUGCCAUUGUUGGGGAGGACAAGAGGAGGAGAAUCAUAUUGCCAUAGGAAUAUCUUUCUCUGUGCACAUGCAGACUCUUGGAGAGUGGGGCUAUGGGCAGCAAGGGACUUCUUAUAUGCGCUAAGUGUGACAAGAAGCUCCUUGCAUGGUCUAUAGGUGGUGGGAGCAAACCACCAGAAUUAUCCCUGACUCCAGAGUUAGGCAUGGCCUGCCACCACUAGGGGUCUGUGAACAGGCACCACCUAAGGCCCCAGUCACUUCAGAGGAUGGCACACACAGAGGAAGGCACUGCAACUAAGUACCACCCAUUGUUAUUCUCUAUCCCCUGGGAACACACACACCCUGCCAUUGUCACUACCAAAUGUUCCAGGUACCACCUAAACCUAUCUGAAGCUCACAGCCACUUCCCAGGGCCCAGCAACUAGGAGCAGCCUGCACCACCUUUCCACAAGUCCUUGCUACUCUCAAGAGCCCAGCAACCAGGCACUGGCUACCAUCCCUACCCAUUGUCUCCAUCUCCCUGGAAGCAUGUGCAGCACUCUAUCAAGGGGAUAACAGCCUGCACACACUGAAGAAAGAGACAGGAAGCAUCCAAACCCUCACACCAAAAAUAAAUAGUAAGGCCUCACAAAAUACCCAGGGGUACUCUCGCAUAUAACUAGCCCUCCAAGACCAUAGCAGUUUGUUUCCCCAAACUCACAGAAUAAGAGAAAUAUAAGCAAAAUGAAGAAGCUCAGGAGCCAUUCCUGGUUGAAAGAACAGAAAAAUUCACCUGACAGAACAAACAAUGAAACAGAACUCCGCAGUCUAAUAGACACUGAGUUUGAAAAGGAGAUAGUGAAAAUACUGAAGGAAUUAGGGUAAAUAUGAAGGAAUUAAGAGCAAAUGUGAACAGUAAUGCAGAUUACUUUAGGAAAGAACUGGAAAAUAUAAUGAGGAGCCAAAAAAAAUUAGGAAAUUCAUUUGAAGAGAAGCAAACUGAGUUAAAGGCACUGAAGAACAGAAUGAAUAAUGCAGAGGAAUGAAUUAGUGACUUGGAAGACAGAAACAUGGAAAUCAUACAAUCAGGACAGCAGACAGAAAACCAAAUGAAAACACAUAAAAGCAAUAUAAGAGAUUUUUGGGAUAAUAUAAAGUAGGCCAAGCAUAAUAGGGAUUCCAGAAGAAGAAAAAGAAAAGAGGAUUGAAAAUAUAUUUGAAGAAAUUAUAGCUGAAAACUUUACAAAUCUAAAGGAAACAGCUAUCAAGAUAAAGGAGGCACAGAGGUCACCAAACAAGUUGAAUCCAAACAGGCCCACAUCAAGAUAUAUUAUACUAAAAAUGGCAAAAGUUAAAGGGAGGAUUCUAAAGGCAGCAAGAGAAAAACAAAGAGUUAAUUAUAAGGGAAUCACCAUAAGGCUAUCAGCUGAUUUCUGAACAGAAACAUUACAGGCCAGAAGAGUGUGGCAAGAUAUAUUCAAAGUUUUAAAAGGGAAAAUUCUGCAGCCUAGAACACUUUAUCCAUCAAGGAUAUCAUUUAAAAUAGAAGGAGAGGAGUUCCCGUCGUGGCGCAGUGGUUAACGAAUCCGACUAGGAACCAUGAGGUUGCGGGCUCGAUCCCUGCCCUUGCUCAGUGGGUUAACGAUCCGGCGUUGCCGUGAGCUGUGGUGUAGGUUGAAGAUGCAGCUUGGAUACGGUGUUGCUGUGGCUUUGGUGUAGGCUGGCAGCUGCAGCUCCGAUUUGACCCCUGGCCUGGGAGCUUCCAUAUACCAUGAGUGCAUUCCUAAAAAGCAAAAUAAAAAACAAACAAAAAAUUAAAAGAAAAAAAAACUAUUGUAAAAGUGACAAUAAACACAAGGAACCACAAAAGGAUAAAUAUGAAGACAUUUAAAAAGGACAUCAAAAUCAUAAAAUGUGGGGAUGGAAAGUAAGAAAAUCUAGGCUCUUUUUUCUAGGAUGCACUUGAACCUAUAAGACUAUGAGGCUAAAGCAAGCAGAUAUAGAAAGCAGGUAACAAAAAAUUAAAAAAAAAAAAACGAAAACAAACAAACAAAAAAAAAGCAGUUAACAUUUGAAAAACAGGACAACCACAAAUCAAAACAAAUAAUACAUUCAUAAAAACUGCAAAGAAGAGGACACAAGCAUAGAGGAAAACAUCCAACCAAAAAAAGAAAGGAGAAAGAAGGAGAAGCAUGGAAUCAGCUGAAAAACAAGGUUUAAAAUGGCAAUAAAUGCAUAUUUAUCAAUAAUUAGCUUAAAUGUCAAUGGACUGAUGCUCCAAUCAAAAGACAAAGAGUGGCGUACUCAAUAAAAAAACAAGCGUCUAUAAAAUGUUGCCUGCAAGAGACUCACCUUAGGACAAAGGAUACAUAUAAAUUGAAAGUGAGGGGAUGGAAAAAGCUAUUUCAUGAGAAUGGGAAAACAGGAAAUCGGGAGUUGCAAUACUCAUAUCAGACAAAAUAGGCUUUAAACCGAAGCCCUUAAAGAAAGACAGAGAGAUGCUGGCAGGAUUAGUUUCAUUCUGAAGACUUUUAUACUUGGCUUAUAUUUGGUUGUUUCCUGCUUUUGCCUUCCCAUGGUCUUCUCCCUGUACAUUUCUUUAUCUUAUUUCCUCUUAUAAAGGCACCAGAAAUAUCAGAUUAGGGCCCAGCCUACUGACCUCAUUUAAUCUUAAUUACACCUUUAAAAAUGCUGUUUUUGAAUAUAGUCAUUUAUAAGGUACUAGGGGUUAACGACGUCAACAUAUGAAUUGGGGGGAGGGGGGUAAAAUUCUACCCAAAAGACCCUGUAAAUAUUUCUCCUUUGCAGCCUGUGUGGUGUUAAGCUUUGUCAACAGAAGGUGCUGAAGGCACUCAGUGGAGGAAGAGGUUUUUCUCCCUGGUUCUGCGUGCUUCUCUACAUAGUCUCUUGCAGCAUGGCUGGUUUCCACAGCACAUAGUUCCAGCAGCAUCCACCAAGCAGCAGCACAAGGCAGCUCCCCACAGACAGAUCCUUCCAGCCUCCUCUUUGGAGUCUUUUUAGUGAUGAGUUACCAGCAUGACACCUACCAUGAACAGGCUCUCCAGGCACUCAAAACCUGCCAGUAUGACACCUCCCUGUGGGUGGCUUCCUCUGAAUGCACCCAGGACCUUCUUGAAUGACCUAGCAGCCUCAGCAAACACCUCUGCCAUUGAGUGAGCCCUCUCUGAUGAAAUCUGAACCUCAGUCCUGGGGUAGAAGGAGUUUUCCCAGAUUUUUUCAUUCCUUGGGUAUUAUUCUUUCUUAUUCCUAGGCGUAGUGGCUGUCUCCUUUACCUGCAAGCCCUUUAUUCCCUAUAAUAUUUUACUCCUCACCAGUCAAUGCCCUGAUACCCCAAUUCCCUGUUAAUAAUUCUGUGUAAUAGUUAUUUUUUUCUUCAAAUUACUUUGAAGUAUCUGUCUCCUAAUUAUAGCUGAACUGAUAGGACUGAGAAGUGGAAUAAUCCUAUAAUAAAGAAAAAUGCAUAGGUGCUCCUAAGGUGAGAAAAGAAACUGUAAAAACUAUCAUUCUUUGCAGAGGAUAAUAUCAUAUGUCCAGAACACCCAAUGGAAUCACCAGAAAAGCUACUGGAACUAACAAGAGUAUUCAAUAGGCUAGCUAUCUCAUACAAAUCAAUAGACUUCUUUAUGCCUGUUAACGAACAUAGAAAAUGUAAAAGAGAAAGUUAGCAACCUACUUUUACAGCAAGAAACAAUUUUAAAGAAUCUAAGAAGUGUUUAUGAAAACAGAGAAUGCAUAAGGUCAUUAAAAAUUUAAGUGAUAUAAAUUAAAUUUAAAAUAGAUUAUUGUUUACAUGACAUCAAUGAAUAAAGAGAUAAAU